This is an RNA transcript of Serinus canaria (Common canary), 4304 nucleotides long. It is a transcript of the gene named androgen induced 1, with no coding region annotated. The transcript has 6 exons. The record is from RefSeq and is a predicted model, not a curated record. Lineage: Eukaryota; Metazoa; Chordata; Aves; Passeriformes; Fringillidae.
GCUGCCGCCGCCGCCCGGCCCUGCGGCCCCCCUGCCCCGCGCUGCUGCCGCCGCAGCCGCCGCCGCACCGCGAGGGCCCUGCGCUCCGCCCCGGCCGGGGCCGCGGGGGCGCUCGGAGUCCCGCCCGCACGGCGCGCACACACACACAGGGAUACACACACACACACCGGGACACACGGACACUCACACGCGGGGCACUGGGACACAGACGCGGGCACACGGAGGCGCACCCCGCGCUGCAAACAUGGCGCUGGUGCCCUGCCAGGUGCUGCGCGCCGCCAUCCUCCUGUCCUAUUGCUCCAUCCUGUGCAAUUACAAGGCCAUUGACAUGCCCGCGCAUCAGACCUAUGGAGGCAGCUGGAAAUUUCUGACCUUCAUAGACCUGGUUAUCCAGGCUGUCUUUUUUGGGAUUUGCGUCUUGACUGACCUGUCCAGUCUUCUCACUAGAGGGAACGACAGUCAAGAGCAAGAGAGGCAACUGAAAAAACUCAUUUCCCUCCGUGACUGGAUGAUGGCUGUUCUAGCUUUCCCUGUGGGAGUGUUUGUUGUGACGAUGUUUUGGAGCAUCUAUAUCUAUGACAGGGAACUGGUUUACCCAAAGCUGCUUGAUAAUUUUAUACCAGCAUGGCUAAAUCAUGGAAUGGGUGGGCAGUCUCUGAAGUUCCCUGAUCUGCCCGUGGGACCUGUUUGGCACUGCGGCAACCCAGGAACUAGGCCCCACAGAAGUCCAUUCUCUCUGUCUUCCAUCAUCUGGGAGGUGCUGAACAGAGAGGUGGUUGUGCUCAGCAGUGGUUGCAGAUGAACUGUGGGGAAGAUGAUAUUACAUCAGUCAGCUUUGUUGCUUCCAGGUGUGAUGGACGGGAAGAAGAAUCAUUCCCUGUGUGAGGCACUAACACUAGUCAGACUGACAGACUGAUAAACUGUUUUGACCAGAAGAGCUGGAGAAGACCCUGAAGACAGCAGAAUAAUCGCUGCCUUUCCAGCAGCCCUGUAAAGCUGAGACUCAUGGCACGUACAUGCUGUUCUGUCCAUCAAAUGCAAGAAAGAUUAUGCAGCAUCCACCUUCAGAGGAGUUUGAACCAGUGUCCUCGACUGUGUGGUGCCAGCAUCUUUCAUAUGAAGUCAUCAGAAGCAAAGAGCUUGGGUUCAAAUGUUACGCUUAAGAGAGGAUUCACUCUUAACUGUAUGAUUUAUCCGAGGUUUUGCCUGAAAGGAACUGGCUUACAGGAAGAGUCCUGAUCUGCAUAUCUCUUUAGGGGAAAUGGGCAAUAUUUCCCUCUAUUUUUUUAUUCCUCUGGUUUAAUCUUUGUGUGUAUGUUGAAUAUACUGUGGAAAUUAGCUCAGCAGUAGCAGUGCUGGUGCUUUUUUACAUCUGCAUUCAGUAAUACAAGCAGACUUUCAAAGUAGAUGGUUUGGGUUUCAUUGCUUCACACAUUCCUCAGCUGUGGUUCAAGUCUGUUGUUGCUUUGGCUUAGGGGUCUGUGGACAUUGUGCCAGCAGGAGAAACUAACUGAUCUCAGGUGUUGGAUGUGUGACAGAUACUGUGGCAUGAACUUCUUAGGUGGCAUCUCCUCAUUCCUCAGUGGCCCUUUGAAAGGAUGAAACAGUCUUUUAGCCAGAAGGUCUCUAGCUCCUUUGCCCCAGCUUCGGGGCUUGAAUUACUGGUGGUUUUAGAAUCACGACAGAGUUAGAUAUGAGCAAAUGCUGGAAUAAUGAUGUCUUGAUACUUGAGGAUUCAGGACCCCUAAGGUAUAUUGCACCACUUUGUGAGAGGAGCUCUGGAUUUUAUUAAGCAGCUGAUAUUUAGGAGGACAAAGCAGGGUCUGAGCUUCUCUCAUUAGAAAGAAGCAGAGUUCAAGAUACUAGGCUUGGAUGCUUCUGGAGUCGCUGUCCAUGGAUAAAUGCUCUUAAAGAAGGAAAGACAUUUUCCAGCUCUGCCUUGCAGAAUUUUUCCAUGCAUUUGCUCAACUGGGAGGGACAAGUUAGUUUGGGGGCAAUAAUGGAGAUAGGCUUUUUCAUAAUGUACCAGUCUUAAUUGCAUAUUCUGCAGUGUUUUUCUCUGCCUGGUACAUUUGGCUACACUAAAUCAGAGUGAAUUUAUAAUCUUUUACUUCUGGAGGAGGUGGCAGGAAGGCAGAUGACUACAGUACCUCUUAUAGAAUAUUAUUAUAAAAGAAGUGUGAAUUACCUCCUAGCCUCUCAGGCUGUUGAAAAAUUGAUUUGAAUGACAUUUUCAAGGUGUUGUUUCUAAGACAUUCAGUAAUUGUCAUUCAUCCAUGAAUGGUUAGUGAGAUGAAUAACAAAAAGUUGUUUUGGAUUCAUAGGAGGAAGUGUUAAAAAAUAACAUUUAGAAAGAAACCCUGGUUAUUGUAAAUUCUCUGUAUAUCUAAACAGCUCCAUAGUUAUCUAAGUGGAUUUAGGCAAUCCAGUAAUUGUGAAAAACAUUAUUUGAGAUAUAGAAGUGGAAAGAUCAUUUCCAUUUGUGUGUGGACUCUUCAGAGUUAUCUGACAUGGGCAAAUGCAUACGAUAUUAUGGCACUGUGGCUUUGAGGUAAAUAAAGCAAGCCUCCUUGCUGGUCAUUGCUUAGGCAGAUAAAAUAUAGCAGCAUUGCUUUUGACUUCAUUCAUCCUUUCAGCAAGCAAAUGUCAGAAUUCAAACAUGGCAAAGAGAGAGGACGGAAAUUAGUGAAUCUUAGAGGACUUCAUAUUUGAGUGGAAACCUUGUAAAUAGUUGACCUGCAAGGAGACAUAUACUUACUGGGUAGUUGCAUGUAGGCUUUAGGAAAAGGUUACAAUAGAUUUCUUUCUGAAAAUAUUACAAAGAAGUGGUGUGCCUCAAACCGGAAUGUUUCAUCAGGAUUUAAAGAAGAUCCAUGUAGUUCUCAUAGACACAUGCUAAUGGGUGAAAACAAUGUGUGUUAUUUUGAAGGUGCAUGACACUUAAAACUUGCUGGCAUCUUAGUCUGAAAAUGGAAGGAAUUGUAUAAACACAGAACAUCUCCCUGAGCAGCGCUGGCACAGCAUCAGCACUGUCUGUUUAACAUUUACCCCCCCUUUCAGGGGCUGGAGUGGGCAGGUUCCUGGAAGGGGACACAACCAGGCCAGCUGAGCCAAAUUAACCAAAGGGAUAUUCCAUACCAUAUGAUGUCAGCUCAUAUAUAAAAGCCAAGGGAGGGAGGAGGAAUGUGGAACAUUCAUUAUUUUACAAUGUUCCCCUUCCCCUGUGAAGUGCAACCCCUGUGUGUGCUGAAGCCCUGCAUCCCGGGAAGUGGCUGAACAUCACUUGCCAAUAAGAAGUAGAGAUUAAACUUUUUUUCUCCUUUACUUAUGCAUGUGCAAACUAUAGCUGUAGUAAAAUGCUUUAUCUCAACCUAUUGGUUGUUUUCCAUCUUGUUUUCUCUCCCCUGUCCCACUGGGAAGGAGAAUGAUAGAACGGCUUGGUGGGCACCUGAUGUCCCACCAAGGUCAACUACAGAUACAUGAAUCCUCCAAAAACCUCAUUAGUAGUGCUGAGCUUCCAUACUGUAGGUCUGAUUCCCAAAACUUAUAUCUGCAUGAAAGCAGUCAGUAAAGCAAAUAUUUUUUUGGUUCCUUACAAGAAAGAAACUUAUGCUAAAGGAAUAGGUUUCUAAGGAAAUGCUAAGAGCACUUAAUAAAAAAGUUUUCUACCUAUCUACUUCUGUAAUAUCUGUUUAUAGAGUGUGCUUUGACUCACAUGUUCUCCAUCUGCUCUGUUCCGUCUGUCUGUGCUUCUGCCAUGCAUACAUCUGCUUGAGAUGCAAGGUAAGUUCCCCAUCUCUACUGAGAAGCAAGCAGAGAGUAUAAAUAUUUUUUGCCACAUUAAUAGCAAGAAUUUGCAUUUAUGAAGUGCAUUACAUUGUCUCUAGUGACUUCUGCACCUUGCCUACCCUCCUUUUUUUCCCUGAGCUCUGAAUGUCCAGUUGGCUUGGUUUUUGCCACUGCUUUCUUUUUUUUUUUUUUUUCCUGUUCUUGAAAGAUUUUUGGAAUGUUAAAAAUACCAGUGAUGUGGGUCAUUUCUUUUCUCCCAUUCCACAUUUUAAACCAGAACAUCCUUAAACAAUAAUACUUUUUCUCCAACCUCCAUAGGCUCUCUUCUUUGGAGGACUUCAUAGCUGCACAUAAAGCCUGCCUGUUGCUGUGACUGUGAAUGAAGCUGCUCUUUGUCUUCACACAACAGUUUUGCCCUUUGUAUUAAUCGAGAUGAGAACAACACAUCAUCAGUAUCCCAGCAGGAGCUGUGGACUGGCUGCAGUGUGCACCUUCGCUGUUGGCUAUAUUUUAUG